RNAcentral lists this transfer RNA (34 nucleotides) under Arenaria balearica. RNAcentral's name for it is "partial tRNA-Lys". The record is from RNAcentral. Lineage: Eukaryota; Viridiplantae; Streptophyta; Magnoliopsida; Caryophyllales; Caryophyllaceae.
GACUAGUUCCGGGUUCGAGUCCCGGGCAACCCAC